CCUACGGGAGACUGCAGUGAGGAAUAUUGGUCAAUGGACGAGAGUCUGAACCAGCCAAGUCGCGUGAGGGAUUAAGGCCCUGCGGGUCGUAAACCUCUUUUGUCGGGGAGCAGAGGUCCGGACGUGUCCGGGCCGGGAGAGUACCCGGAGAAAAGGCAUCGGCUAACCCCGUGCCAGCAGCCGCGGUAAUACGGAGGAUGCGAGCGUUAUCCGGAUUUAUUGGGUUUAAAGGGUGCGUAGGCGGGCAUUUAAGCCGGCGGUAAAAUGUCGGGGCUCAACCCCGGCCAGCCGUGGAAACUGGCUGCCUUGAGUGGGCGAGAAGUAUGCGGAAUGCGUGGUGUAGCGGUGAAAUGCAUAGAUAUCACGCAGAACCCCGAUUGCGAAGGCAGCCUGCCGGAGCCCUACUGACGCUGAGGCACGAAAGUGCGGGGAUCGAACAGGAUUAGAUACCCUGGUAGUC
RNAcentral lists this ribosomal RNA (460 nucleotides) under uncultured bacterium. RNAcentral's name for it is "partial 16S ribosomal RNA". It matches the Rfam family "Bacterial small subunit ribosomal RNA", at positions 338 to 795 of the family's 1533-position model. The record is from RNAcentral.